This 243-nucleotide long non-coding RNA is filed under the name Capsicum annuum. Its description in RNAcentral is "long non-coding RNA (CANN_LNC013753)". Lineage: Eukaryota; Viridiplantae; Streptophyta; Magnoliopsida; Solanales; Solanaceae. The record is from RNAcentral.
AGCUAUAUAUGGAGUUACAAAAGAAAGAGAAGCUCCAAGGUCUAGUAAAGCAUAAAUAUAUAAGUGAAAGACCUGUAACAUACCGUAACUAUGUUAGGAUAAUUUUCCUGACCUUGGUAGGAAUGAAGGGCAUAUGAUCUGAUUGGACGCUGAAAACUGGUAGCAUUAGAAGCGGCAUCCUUCUGAGUUAGGUGACCAGAUGGAAAAAAUAACUGACGAGACUAGCUAUGUUGGCAUAAAUCC